Molecule: long non-coding RNA, 227 nt
Filed under: Physcomitrium patens
Lineage: Eukaryota; Viridiplantae; Streptophyta; Bryopsida; Funariales; Funariaceae
Description: long non-coding RNA (PPAT_LNC010245)
Source: RNAcentral
UAGAUUAACCCAAUAAAUUUCAUUCACUCCGCAUACUCAAUCCUAUAGACACCCUUUUAAUCCUUCAAUCACAGACGUAACUCGAUUUCACAAAACAAUCAAGAGUAUUCAAACCCACUUCAUUAAAAAUCCCGAUUCACCAUUACAAUACUGACUUCAGUAGCGAUUGCCUCAGUCUUUCCAAAACUCUACGAAGAAGAAAAAUCCAAAUUCUAUGUCUUUCCUUC